Molecule: ribosomal RNA, 505 nt
Filed under: Vibrio sp. 8SW2S4
Lineage: Bacteria; Pseudomonadati; Pseudomonadota; Gammaproteobacteria; Vibrionales; Vibrionaceae
Description: bacterial SSU rRNA
Rfam family: Bacterial small subunit ribosomal RNA
Source: RNAcentral
AGCCUGAUGCAGCCAUGCCGCGUGUGUGAAGAAGGCCUUCGGGUUGUAAAGCACUUUCAGUCGUGAGGAAGGUGGUAGUGUUAAUAGCACUAUCAUUUGACGUUAGCGACAGAAGAAGCACCGGCUAACUCCGUGCCAGCAGCCGCGGUAAUACGGAGGGUGCGAGCGUUAAUCGGAAUUACUGGGCGUAAAGCGCAUGCAGGUGGUUUGUUAAGUCAGAUGUGAAAGCCCGGGGCUCAACCUCGGAAUAGCAUUUGAAACUGGCAGACUAGAGUACUGUAGAGGGGGGUAGAAUUUCAGGUGUAGCGGUGAAAUGCGUAGAGAUCUGAAGGAAUACCGGUGGCGAAGGCGGCCCCCUGGACAGAUACUGACACUCAGAUGCGAAAGCGUGGGGAGCAAACAGGAUUAGAUACCCUGGUAGUCCACGCCGUAAACGAUGUCUACUUGGAGGUUGUGGCCUUGAGCCGUGGCUUUCGGAGCUAACGCGUUAAGUAGACCGCCUGGG